UUCUCCAGAUGGUUCUGAGGAGAUCAGCCAGCAGACAUCAGGAGGUGCAUGAAGUAGUGAAGGAGAGGACAAUCCAGACCCAGAUGGUACCUGCUGAACUCAGGCUGACUGAAGUCCAGGAGAUGGAGAACAGAGCAGAACCUCCAGGAUCCAGCUGUCCGUCUAUGAGAAGUGACCGGUUCAAAGAAUACCAUCCAGACUUCAGUGAAGAACCUGGACCCUCAGAAGGGAGGAAGAGGAGCAGCGUUGGUGUGGAGGAGCAGAGGUCCUGCUGUGCUUUGUGUCAGAAGGUCCUGAUGGACCCGGUC
Molecule: long non-coding RNA, 308 nt
Organism: Fundulus heteroclitus (mummichog)
Lineage: Eukaryota; Metazoa; Chordata; Actinopteri; Cyprinodontiformes; Fundulidae
Exons: 3
Source: RefSeq, a predicted model, not a curated record